UGGGGAAUAUUGCACAAUGGGCGCAAGCCUGAUGCAGCCAUGCCGCGUGUAUGAAGAAGGCCUUCGGGUUGUAAAGUACUUUCAGCGGAGGAGGAAGGCAUUAAGGUUAAUAACCUUAGUGAUGACGUUACUCGCAGAAGAAGCACCGGCUAACUCCGUGCCAGCAGCCGCGGUAUACAGGAGGGUGCAAGCGUUAAUCGGAAUUACUGGGCGUAAAGCGCACGCAGGCGGUCUGUCAAGUCGGAUGUGAAAUCCCCGGGCUCAACCUGGGAACUGCAUCCGAAACUGGCAGGCUAGAGUCUUGUAGAGGGGU
Molecule: ribosomal RNA, 313 nt
Filed under: uncultured Enterobacteriaceae bacterium
Lineage: Bacteria; Pseudomonadati; Pseudomonadota; Gammaproteobacteria; Enterobacterales; Enterobacteriaceae
Description: bacterial SSU rRNA
Rfam family: Bacterial small subunit ribosomal RNA
Source: RNAcentral